RNAcentral lists this ribosomal RNA (250 nucleotides) under uncultured bacterium. Its description in RNAcentral is "partial 16S ribosomal RNA". It matches the Rfam family "Bacterial small subunit ribosomal RNA", at positions 524 to 774 of the family's 1533-position model. The record is from RNAcentral.
UACGUAGGUGGCGAGCGUUGUCCGGAAUUAUUGGGCGUAAAGCGCGCGCAGGCGGGAAAGUAAGUCCACUUUAAAAGUGCGGGGCUCAACCCCGUGAUGGGGUGGAAACUGCUUUUCUUGAGUGCCGGAGAGGAAAGUGGAAUUCCCAGUGUAGCGGUGAAAUGCGUAGAUAUUGGGAGGAACACCAGUGGCGAAGGCGACUUUCUGGACGGUGUCUGACGCUGAGGCGCGAAAGCCAGGGGAGCGAACG